Molecule: ribosomal RNA, 253 nt
Filed under: uncultured bacterium
Lineage: Bacteria
Description: partial 16S ribosomal RNA
Rfam family: Bacterial small subunit ribosomal RNA
Source: RNAcentral
UACGUAGGGUGCGAGCGUUGUCCGGAAUUACUGGGCGUAAGGAGCUCGUAGGUGGUUUGUCGCGUUGUUCGUGAAAACCGGGGGCUUAACCCUCGGCGUGCGGGCGAUACGGGCAGACUGGAGUACUGCAGGGGAGACUGGAAUUCCUGGUGUAGCGGUGGAAUGCGCAGAUAUCAGGAGGAACACCGGUGGCGAAGGCGGGUCUCUGGGCCGUAACUGACGCUGAGGAGCGAAAGCGUGGGGAGCGAACAGG